UUAAAACGCAAUUAGAACUGUGUUUUAAAUACAUAGGGUAGGACAGAUAUUCUGACUGGUUUAACUGGGAAAACAAUUUUAAGUCCAGUAACGCUUAAGACAUGGCUUGAAUUUGAAUCGAAAAAGAACACCCGCUUCAACUGCUGCUGGGACGGUAAGUUCUGUUUUAAAAUUUUCCGUUGUGUGCAGUACGAAACAAAAGUGUUUGAAAUUAGAAAACAAAAGGUUCUGCUGGGAAUGUGAUUGUUUCCGAUGCAAUUACACUCAGAUUUUUCACGCAGGGGAUACAGGCCGUGUAAAUGAAAACCGCGUAAAUUUAAAAAAAAAGCGUGGAUGAAAACCGCGUAAAUUUCAAAAUCCGCGUAAAAAACCUGAGUGUACUCUCCUAUAUAAAAUACUACGCUGCUGAACAGUGCAAUAACUACAGAAGCACGUUGUCAGAUGCCUUACUGAUAAAAAACAUAUAACCGAAAUAUGAAACAUGAAAACCAAUUGGCUCUUUACCCUACGCAUGCAUAAAAAAAAAUAUAUUUUUUUCAAACGCAACACUCUUAAGCAGCACACACCGUAUUGAAUUAAAUCCAAACCACCCCGCCCACCCACUUUGCAAACCAUUCUGUGACACCAUGCUGGUACCCGACAAAUCCGCACACGGCCACCGCUGCCGAAAAUGCAUAGCGUCUACCGCUUAUUGUAGUGCCCAGACGCUGCAGCCAUGAUCUUACCCAUUCGACAUAAGAACAAAAACUGAUUCAAACGGGUACGCGUCACCUCUAUUUAUAAACUAACCGUAUAUGGUUUAGUCACUUAGGUGCGAGUGUGUGCAAAUGCCAACGUUACCGAAAAUCGAUAGCGCUUAUUGCAUCGCCCGGAGACGACGUUGCUCGUGUGAGAUAAGAGCAACAACUGAUUUAAACGGACAUGCGUUGCUUCUAUUUAUGACUUUUCGUGUUUCAUUGAGCAACUAAGCUGCCCUCUUUUGACGGCUGUGUCUGAGAAAUCUGCCUCACGAAUGGUAUUUUUCCCGUUUUUUGUGAACUUUUUAAUUUUACCAAUUUCCAAAAGUCUACUUUUAUUGGGGAGAUAUUAAAUUAUUACCAAUAUUUAAGUUAGGUGUUUCUGAAUCGGUUGGUGUAUGAAUGAUUAAAAUCCAUCUAGUAAUAUUGGAGUUAUAAGCGUGCAAACCUUACAUAGUUUCGUUACAUGGGAGAUAGUUUAGAUUUUAGAAUGACACCUAGCCCCAGAUAGUGGAGUAAGACAUUUUUAAUGUCAAAAUACUGUACCAUGCGGUGUGCAGGAGGACUUUUUUAUUCAGUUGGUGCGGCAAGAUCGAACACCAACAACAUAAUAUCAUGGUAAUCACCCAGCAAGAGAACGCAGUGAUAAUGGACCAACAGAAAACACAACAUCAAGAUGCUCGGAAAGGACUUUCUCUUUCGAACAAACAUAAUGGUACGUCAUGUUCAAUCGGCUAACCGUUUGGAAUAAGCGCUCAUCAUCGGUUUCAUGGCAGGGAAGUGAGCAGGCAAAAGAAGGCAUCGUUUUUUCCGCAAGGUCGCUCUGGUCAAAAUUUCAGCGAAUUGCAAGAAAUAAACCACCUGAGGGACAGUACCCGUGCUGAUUCAGGACGAUUUCCCAUACUUUGUACCUUGCUAUUGAAUUUUAAUACCCGAUCGAAACGAUGGCAAGCGCUGCCGAUAACUGGGUCAAAAAGACGACGGAUCAAGAAAUUUCUGCACUCGGUUAGCGAACUGAGUACAUAUCAAAGGAUUCAGAGCCGGCGGCUUGCAGUCCAGAGAAAGAGAAAAACCUAGUCCACCGGCAGUAGAACCAAAGAUGCACCUGAUGUUUGGAGUUCGGUAUCUACGGAAAUUCUGACUCUAGCAGCUCCUGAAGAAAAACAAACUGCAAGAGAAAAUGGAGAAACAGCUUCCUCCGCGGAAGAUGCAGAGUCAUUCAAGUAAGUCGAAAUCUGCAGAAAAUUUUGAUUAGGACAUAAGGAACAUUGAGAGCCUCUCUUUGUUUACUUUCUCUUUCGAUUAUUAUGA
This is a long non-coding RNA of Topomyia yanbarensis, 2048 nucleotides long. RefSeq lists it as uncharacterized. The transcript has 4 exons. NCBI's taxonomy places the organism in Eukaryota, Metazoa, Arthropoda, Insecta, Diptera, Culicidae. The record is from RefSeq and is a predicted model, not a curated record.